UUUUAGCCCCGAUAGCAGUGAAAAUCCUUUUAUUUUUUCUUUAAAAAUAAAAGAUUGUAACGAAUAGCGGGAUUAGCU
Molecule: small RNA, 78 nt
Filed under: Flavobacterium sp. 120
Lineage: Bacteria; Pseudomonadati; Bacteroidota; Flavobacteriia; Flavobacteriales; Flavobacteriaceae
Description: Flavo-1 RNA
Rfam family: Flavo-1 RNA
Source: RNAcentral